RNAcentral lists this antisense RNA (72 nucleotides) under Amycolatopsis mediterranei. RNAcentral's name for it is "Aspks sRNA". It matches the Rfam family "ASpks TB sRNA". The record is from RNAcentral. RNAcentral also lists the same sequence under 1 other name. Lineage: Bacteria; Bacillati; Actinomycetota; Actinomycetes; Pseudonocardiales; Pseudonocardiaceae.
CUUCACCGAGCCCAGCCAGAGCGGCUCCCGGCGCGGACCACGCCCGUACGCGGCCAUCAGCGCGUCCGCCUC